RNAcentral lists this non-coding RNA (23 nucleotides) under Arabidopsis thaliana (thale cress). The record is from RNAcentral. Lineage: Eukaryota; Viridiplantae; Streptophyta; Magnoliopsida; Brassicales; Brassicaceae.
UAAAGACUCAAAAUCCUAUACCU